This 236-nucleotide long non-coding RNA is filed under the name Phoenix dactylifera (date palm). RNAcentral's name for it is "long non-coding RNA (PDAC_LNC009920)". The record is from RNAcentral. Lineage: Eukaryota; Viridiplantae; Streptophyta; Magnoliopsida; Arecales; Arecaceae.
AUUUCUUGAUGUGCCGGGGUCGACUCAAUCAAUCUUGGGGUCGACUCAAUCCACACUUUGCUGCAACUUAAGGUUAGAUUCAUCCAUAUAAUCAAUGAAAUAAACUUUAAACAAUUUUGAAUAUAUGUCAUGAUAGUGCUACAUACUCCAAACAAUGAAAAUUACUAUUCUCCACUUAAGAGUAUGUUUCACUUGAAACUUUGCCGAAUUAGAAUUUAGAGUUCACUAUCCCUUUC